Molecule: long non-coding RNA, 1041 nt
Filed under: Marmota monax (woodchuck)
Lineage: Eukaryota; Metazoa; Chordata; Mammalia; Rodentia; Sciuridae
Source: RNAcentral
CUCAGGCCCAGGAGCCCCAGGGCGCUGUCAGGCCGUGUACUUUUAGAGUGGAACAGGCUAUUGUCAGGACACAGGCAGAUGUUUGAUUUAAUCGGCCAUCCUUGAUGUGCUCUGAUUCUCUUCCCAGGCAGGACUGCAAAGAAAAAGAAAAGAAAGGAAGUGGGUGGUUUGCAGAAACUCCAAUGGGUGGAGGAGAUAAGAAGAACCUGGUGAAAAGACUUGGGCAACUCUGUGCCACACUCUGUCCUAGGUGUUCACGAAACAGGAAAACGUAGACUCCUUGCCCUUGCAGGGCUGGUGAGCUCAGGAGGAAACAGAAACAGACAUACAGGCCAGUGCAAGGGCUAACCCUGGCCGGACUCCCGAAAUUCAAUAUUCCCACGAACGUCUGGGAUCUUGUUAACACGCAGAUUCUGACUCCGCGGACUUGGGAUGGAACCUGAGAUUCUCCAUCUCGCUCACGUUUUCAGGUGAUGUUGAUGCUGCUCUCCAAGGAGCCCUACUUUGAUUAGCCAGGAGUCAGGCAUUAACAUCAGGGACCCUGGAGCCUGACAACCCCAGGCUCCAACCCUGGCUCCUCCACUUUCUGGCUGAGUGAGCUUGGGGAACCCCUUGGACCUCUCGAAGCCUGUUUCCACCUCUGUAUAAGGAGGAGUCUGAUUCCGAUUUCAUUGUGUUGUGCACAAGGUGUCCAAUGAGACAAUUCAGGUUUAGCUCUGAGCCUAAUGCCCAGCACAUAGUAAGUGCUCAACAGAAGGCAAAAACGGGUCUUGGUCUGGGCUCUUAAGAAUUAUUUGAGAAUUCUGAAGCUAGUGCUAUGGACAUUCAAAGAAGGCUUCCCAGAGGUGGUGACCUGUGUGCUGAGCGAUGCGGGACAGGAAGCAUGCAGGGCGAGAGGACAGCGUGAGCAGAUGUCUUACACCUGGCAGCAUGCUGGGUAUAAUUGUUCUUGGGUGAAGCCUUGGCGUGACGUGGGCUUGGCAGAGGCUCAGCUCUAAUGCUCCUUCUGUUUCUUACUCUCUCCUGCUGUCACUGUUGCCU